Molecule: transfer RNA, 72 nt
Filed under: Camelus dromedarius (Arabian camel)
Lineage: Eukaryota; Metazoa; Chordata; Mammalia; Artiodactyla; Camelidae
Also listed under: 1 other name
Rfam family: tRNA
About the family: Transfer RNA (tRNA) molecules are approximately 80 nucleotides in length. Their secondary structure includes four short double-helical elements and three loops (D, anti-codon, and T loops). Further hydrogen bonds mediate the characteristic L-shaped molecular structure. tRNAs have two regions of fundamental functional importance: the anti-codon, which is responsible for specific mRNA codon recognition, and the 3' end, to which the tRNAs corresponding amino acid is attached (by aminoacyl-tRNA synthetases). tRNAs cope with the degeneracy of the genetic code in two manners: having more than one tRNA (with a specific anti-codon) for a particular amino acid; and 'wobble' base-pairing, i.e. permitting non-standard base-pairing at the 3rd anti-codon position.
Source: Rfam by way of RNAcentral
AGAGGUAUAGCUCAGUGGUAGAGUGCAUGCCCAGAGUGCACAAGGUCCUGGGUUCAAUCUCCAGGACCUCCA